UACGUAGGGUGCGAGCGUUGUCCGGAAUUAUUGGGCGUAAAGGGCUCGUAGGCGGUCUGUUGCGUCGGUAGUGAAAACUCAGGGCUUAACCCUGAGCCUGCUUCCGAUACGGGCAGACUAGAGGUAUGCAGGGGAGAACGGAAUUCCUGGUGUAGCGGUGAAAUGCGCAGAUAUCAGGAGGAACACCGGUGGCGAAGGCGGUUCUCUGGGCAUCACCUGACGCUGAGGAGCGAAAGUGUGGGGAGCGAACAGG
RNAcentral lists this ribosomal RNA (253 nucleotides) under uncultured bacterium. Its description in RNAcentral is "partial 16S ribosomal RNA". It matches the Rfam family "Bacterial small subunit ribosomal RNA", at positions 524 to 776 of the family's 1533-position model. The record is from RNAcentral.